AGGAUGAAGCCCCUCGGGGUGUAAACUGCUGUCAGGGUUUAGGAAGCAAGUGACCAAACCCAAAGGAAGAGACGACUAACUCUGUGCCAGCAGUCGCGGUAAUACAGAGGUCUCGAGCGUUAGUCGGAAUCACUGGGCUUAAAGCGUGCGUAGGCGGAUGCGCAGGCGUCGUGUGAAAGCCCUCGGCUCAACCGAGGAAUUGCACGGCGAACCGCGCGUCUUGAGACGAGUAUGGGCGGUCGGAACGAUAGGUGGAGUGGUGAAAUGCGUUGAUAUCUAUCGGAACGCCAAAGGUGAAGACAGGCCGCUGGGCUCGUUCUGACGCUGAGGCACGAAAGCGUGGGGAGCAAACGGGAUUAGAUACCCCGGUAGUCCACGCCGUAAACGAUGUGCACGAGAUCGAGGAAGGUACUGACGCCUCUCUCGGUCGAAGUAAAAACGAUGAGUGCACCGCCUGGGGAGUACGGUCGCAAGGCUA
This 478-nucleotide ribosomal RNA is filed under the name uncultured bacterium. RNAcentral's name for it is "bacterial SSU rRNA". It matches the Rfam family "Bacterial small subunit ribosomal RNA", at positions 405 to 896 of the family's 1533-position model. The record is from RNAcentral.